Molecule: ribosomal RNA, 301 nt
Filed under: uncultured bacterium
Lineage: Bacteria
Description: partial 16S ribosomal RNA
Rfam family: Bacterial small subunit ribosomal RNA
Source: RNAcentral
CAGCAGCCGCGGUAAUACGUAGGGUGCAAGCGUUAAUCGGAAUUACUGGGCGUAAAGCGUGCGCAGGCGGUUUGUUAAGACAGAUGUGAAACCCCCGGGCUCAACCUGGGAACUGCAUUUGUGACUGGCAGGCUAGAGUAUGGCAGAGGGGGGUGGAAUUCCGCGUGUAGCAGUGAAAUGCGUAGAUAUGCGGAGGAACACCGAUGGCGAAGGCAGCCCCCUGGGCCAAUACUGACGCUCAUGCACGAAAGCGUGGGGAGCAAACAGGAUUAGAUACCCCUGUAGUCCCUGUCUCUUAUAC